AGAGUUUGAUCAUGGCUCAGAACGAACGCUGGCGGCAGGCUUAACACAUGCAAGUCGAGCGCUGUAGCAAUACAGAGCGGCAGACGGGUGAGUAACGCGUGGGGAAUCUACCCAUCUCUACGGAAUGACUCAGGGAAACCCGGAUUAAUACCGCAUGAUCUCGCAAGAGCAAAGAGGGGGACCGCAAGGUCUCUCGCUUUUGGAGGAACCUACGUCGGAUUAGCUAGUUGGUGAGGUAAUGGCUCACCAAGGCGACGAUCCGUAACUGGUCUGAGAGGAUGAUCAGUCACACCGGAACUGAGACACGGUCCGGACUCCUACGGGAGGCAGCAGUGGGGUAUAUUGGACAAUGGGCGAAAGCCUGAUCCAGCAAUACCGCGUGUGUGAAGAAGGCCUUCGGGUUGUAAAGCACUUUAAGUUGGGAAGAAAAAGCUUCACCUAAUACGUGAAGCCUUGACGGUACCGACAGAAUAAGCACCGGCUAACUCUGUG
RNAcentral lists this ribosomal RNA (492 nucleotides) under uncultured bacterium. RNAcentral's name for it is "bacterial SSU rRNA". It matches the Rfam family "Bacterial small subunit ribosomal RNA", at positions 8 to 507 of the family's 1533-position model. The record is from RNAcentral.